Molecule: ribosomal RNA, 501 nt
Filed under: uncultured bacterium
Lineage: Bacteria
Description: bacterial SSU rRNA
Rfam family: Bacterial small subunit ribosomal RNA
Source: RNAcentral
CACGAGUUUGAUCAUGGCUCAGAUUGAACGCUGGCGGAAUGCUUUACACAUGCAAGUCGAACGGUAGAGGGGGCAACCCUUGAGAGUGGCGAACGGGUGAGUAAUAUAUCGGAACGUGCCCAGUCGUGGGGGAUAACGUAGCGAAAGUUACGCUAAUACCGCAUACGAUCUAAGGAUGAAAGCGGGGGAUCGCAAGACCUCGCGCGAUUGGAGCGGCCGAUAUCAGAUUAGGUAGUUGGUGAGGUAAAGGCUCACCAAGCCAACGAUCUGUAGCUGGUCUGAGAGGACGACCAGCCACACUGGAACUGAGACACGGUCCAGACUCCUACGGGAGGCAGCAGUGGGGAAUUUUGGACAAUGGACGCAAGUCUGAUCCAGCCAUUCCGCGUGCAGGAUGAAGGCCCUCGGGUUGUAAACUGCUUUUGUACGGAACGAAAAGGUUUCUAUUAAUACUAGGAGCUCAUGACGGUACCGUAAGAAUAAGCACCGGCUAACUACGUG